ACUUGUGACACCUCUGUGCAGUCUGUUGAUAUGAUUCGGGUUGCUAAUUUCCAUUCUUGCAUUUGUUUAUAUUUAUGUUGUAUUUGUAUACCUAUUAAAUAUUUUUGAAUUGUUUGUAGAAGUGAACUUAGCUAUACUCUACUUGUAUCUUCAGUUUUUGGACAAACAGCAGGAAGAGGAAGAAAUAGACGAAGAUCUGGAUUACAGAGCACUUGAAAGUGGAUAUGUUGCAGUGACUCCGCUGUCUCUUUCUCCUCAUAUUGAAACUGAUAUUCAAACGGCAGCUUCUGAUUGGAUUUCUGAUGUGCUUCCUAGUGGACAAUAAAUUGAAAGUUUAGUAUGAUUGUGUACAUUUGAGAUUUAUGAUGAUUCUUUCCUCUAUUUUUUUUCUUCCUUAAAGCAAAGAUGGAGCAGAAGCGGUAGUCACACCAAUUCAAUAGUGGAUUUCCACUUGUACUAUUUUUUUUUUAAUUUUUUUUUUUACAUUUUUUUUUUGUUUCCUUCUUCAUUGUUUCAUUUCCUAUGGUCACUUAGUUAUUUCUGAUUUGAAGCAAAUGCUUCUUGUAAUUUUCUUGGGCAUAUUUUAGAAAAAUGCCAUUUCGUCUGUUUGUAAUAUCUAUCUAUUACUAGUAAAAACAUUGGAGCAGCUGUAUUUUCCCGCUUAUUUUUUUGUUGGAAAAUAGUUAAACUUUUGAUU
This is a non-coding RNA of Cajanus cajan (pigeon pea), 697 nucleotides long. The record is from RefSeq and is a predicted model, not a curated record. Lineage: Eukaryota; Viridiplantae; Streptophyta; Magnoliopsida; Fabales; Fabaceae.